GAAGGUCUGACGGAGCACGCCGCGUGAGUGAUGAAGGUUUUCGGAUCGUAAAGCUCUGUUGUUAGGGAAGAACAAGUGCCGUUCAAAUAGGGCGGCACCUUGACGGUACCUAACCAGAAAGCCACGGCUAACUACGUGCCAGCAGCCGCGGUAAUACGUAGGUGGCAAGCGUUGUCCGGAAUUAUUGGGCGUAAAGGGCUCGCAGGCGGUUUCUUAAGUCUGAUGUGAAAGCCCCCGGCUCAACCGGGGAGGGUCAUUGGAAACUGGGGAACUUGAGUGCAGAAGAGGAGAGUGGAAUUCCACGUGUAGCGGUGAAAUGCGUAGAGAUGUGGAGGAACACCAGUGGCGAAGGCGACUCUCUGGUCUGUAACUGACGCUGAGGAGCGAAAGCGUGGGGAGCGAACAGGAUUAGAUACCCUGGUAGUCCACGCCGUAAACGAUGAGUGCUAAGUGUUAGGGGGUUUCCGCCCCUUAGUGCUGCAGCUAACGCAAUAAGCACUCCGCCCGGGGGAGAAA
RNAcentral lists this ribosomal RNA (516 nucleotides) under Bacillus subtilis. Its description in RNAcentral is "bacterial SSU rRNA". It matches the Rfam family "Bacterial small subunit ribosomal RNA", at positions 377 to 884 of the family's 1533-position model. Lineage: Bacteria; Bacillati; Bacillota; Bacilli; Caryophanales; Bacillaceae. The record is from RNAcentral.